CGGAACCAAAAGAGCUUGCUCUUUUGGUUUAGCGGCGGACGGGUGAGUAACACGUGGGCAACCUGCCCUGCAGAUCGGGAUAACUCCGGGAAACCGGUGCUAAUACCGAAUAGUUUGGCGCCUCUCCUGAGGCGCUACGGAAAGACGGCAUCUCGCUGUCACUGCAGGAUGGGCCCGCGGCGCAUUAGCUAGUUGGUGGGGUAACGGCCCACCAAGGCGACGAUGCGUAGCCGACCUGAGAGGGUGAUCGGCCACACUGGGACUGAGACACGGCCCAAACUCCUACGGGAGGCAGCAGUAGGGAAUCUUCCGCAAUGGACGCAAGUCUGACGGAGCAACGCCGCGUGAGUGACGAAGGUUUUCGGAUCGUAAAACUCUGUUGUGAGGGAAGAAACCGUGCCAAUUAACUACUGGCACCUUGACGGUACCUCACCAGAAAGCCACGGCUAACUACGUGCCAGCAGCCGCGGUAAUACGUAGGUGGCAAGCGUUGUCCGGAAUUAUUGGGCGUAAAGCGCGCGCAGGCGGUCCUUUAAGUCUGAUGUGAAAGCCCACGGCUCAACCGUGGAGGGUCAUUGGAAACUGGAGGACUUGAGUGCAGAAGAGGAAAGUGGAAUUCCACGUGUAGCGGUGAAAUGCGUAGAGAUGUGGAGGAACACCAGUGGCGAAGGCGACUUUCUGGUCUGUAACUGACGCUGAGGCGCGAAAGCGUGGGGAGCAAACAGGAUUAGAUACCCUGGUAGUCCACGCCGU
Molecule: ribosomal RNA, 753 nt
Filed under: Planomicrobium sp.
Lineage: Bacteria; Bacillati; Bacillota; Bacilli; Caryophanales; Caryophanaceae
Description: bacterial SSU rRNA
Rfam family: Bacterial small subunit ribosomal RNA
Source: RNAcentral